This 346-nucleotide transfer-messenger RNA is filed under the name Nitrospinaceae bacterium. It matches the Rfam family "transfer-messenger RNA". From Rfam's summary of the family: Bacterial tmRNA, also known as 10Sa RNA or SsrA, is named for its dual tRNA and mRNA-like properties. Its role is to liberate the mRNA from a stalled ribosome. To accomplish this part of the tmRNA is used as a reading frame that ends in a translation stop signal. Lineage: Bacteria; Pseudomonadati; Nitrospinota; Nitrospinia; Nitrospinales; Nitrospinaceae. The record is from RNAcentral.
GGGGACGAAACGGAUUCGACAGGGUAAGAAAGAAGAAAAGUGCAAGUAGUCAAAGGUACCAGCAGACUUUAAACGCAGAUACAAAACAUAAUUGCUAAUAACAAUAACAACUUCGAAUCUGUCCGCUUAGCGGCUUAAUCGGGAGGCUGGUUAGAGCCUUCUUUCCAAUCUAUCCAAAACAACAGACAAGUUGUAAAAAUCAAACCACCCAUCGCAACAGGGUAGUAAGCGAUGUGGAACAAACUACCUCCACUUGGCUGUAUGUGGAGUAUAAACGGUCCAAACUUGUGAAUGACUUUAAUUAGACUUAUCUUGGACGCGGGUUCGACUCCCGCCGUCUCCACCA